RNAcentral lists this ribosomal RNA (253 nucleotides) under uncultured bacterium. RNAcentral describes it as "partial 16S ribosomal RNA". It matches the Rfam family "Bacterial small subunit ribosomal RNA", at positions 524 to 776 of the family's 1533-position model. The record is from RNAcentral.
UACGUAGGUGACCAGCGUUGUCCGGAUUUACUGGGCGUAAAGAGCGCGCAGGCGGUCGUUCAAGUCGAGUGUGAAAGCCCCCGGCUCAACUGGGGAGGGUCACUUGAUACUGAUCGACUCGAAGGCAGGAGAGGGAAGCGGAAUUCCCGGUGUAGUGGUGAAAUGCGUAGAGAUCAGGAAGAACACCCGUGGCGCAAGCGGCCACCUGGCCAAGAGCUGACGCUGAGGCACGAGAGCGUGGGGAGCGAACCGG